This is a non-coding RNA of Schizosaccharomyces pombe (fission yeast), 1288 nucleotides long. NCBI's taxonomy places the organism in Eukaryota, Fungi, Ascomycota, Schizosaccharomycetes, Schizosaccharomycetales, Schizosaccharomycetaceae. The record is from the annotation of a GenBank genome assembly.
GCGCGAAAUACAAAAAGUAACUGCUAACACCAAUAUUAAAUCAAUAAAAGCAUCGUCUUACAAGUACAUAUACGUUUACGAUUAAAAAAUUAGAAAGAGAAUAAUGUUAACCAACUAAGCUAUUAGAUUUUCAUUGUAUUCAUAUCUGGGAACGAACACUAUUGAUGUACACUAAAGCCGGAUCAAUAAUGCACCGGUAACCUAAUUUAUGAACGCUAACCAAAUGAGAAGCAACUAAGAGCUGAUCCCAUAAAGUGUGAGAAAAGGAAACGAGCUUGAACAAGGUAAUUUAAACCUUGAAUGCACGAGACUUUCUGCGACCACGAGCUCUCUCGAACUUACGGCCCUCAGAACGAACAUAAGGAGCCUUAUGCUUGUGGGGACCAAAGCCAAAGUGACGGUAAGCCUCACGAGCAUGCUUCUUACCACGAACAAGAACAGUGUUGCUUCCAGUGGGAGCACGUAGAGCAAGCUGAUCGAGGGUUAAAACUUCACCACCAGCUUUCAAAAUACGAGCGCGAGCAGAUUUAGUAAAACGAAGAGCGGCAAUAGAAAGCUUAGGAACAGUCAACAUACGCUCAUCGUCGGUAACGGUUCCGACAACGACGGUGGUUUUGUUCUGAGAAGAAGCACUCUUACGGCUAGUUAAAGCAGCGAUCUUUGAGAUAGAAAUAGGAGGACGGUUAGUCUUGGAUUGAAAAAGACGCUUCAAAAUAGCCUUGUUGAAGCGGGAAUCUGUACGACGGGCCAAAAAACGGUAAAGCUUAACCAAAAGCUUUAAGUAGACGUUCUCCGAAGCAGGCUUGCUGCGUUGAGACUUUUUAACGUGAUGUCUCUCGAUAUCAAUUCCCUAAAUCACUCAUUAGCUUAAUAGAACAAACAGGUAUUCAUAUUAUACAUACCAUUUUGAUAUAACGCUGCUUGUUCGUUUCAAUAAUCACUGCUAAAAUUGGUAGUAAAUUUGUGACUGCCUUUUUGAGCUAGGGUAGGUUUUAGGGAGGUUUAUCGAGAGUCACUAGGUACGCCUUAUUUGUGUAGCAAACCCAUAAACGGAGGUGUAUAAAUGAUUCAAUAUAAAUAAGUAUUUGCUAGAUUAUUUAUUUAUAAUAGUGAGAUUUUGGAAUAGGGUAGGUGUUACUUUUGCAUUUAUCGAACACGUUCAUUAACUCUCUAAAAAUUAAUUGUUUUAUAAAACUAGAUAUAUGAAAAAGAUGCAUUUGAAUUUUACUGCAAAUAAUAAUUGAAUUAUAUAACCAUAUUUCAUUGAAAAUAUUAUACUUUAUGGAAC